GCUGCGGUAAAUCCCGCAGUCGGGACUUCGCAAUCCUGGCAAAACGAAGCGCACAACACGCGCCAGCGUGUUUUUU
RNAcentral lists this small RNA (76 nucleotides) under Escherichia coli. RNAcentral's name for it is "isrK Hfq binding RNA". It matches the Rfam family "isrK Hfq binding RNA". Lineage: Bacteria; Pseudomonadati; Pseudomonadota; Gammaproteobacteria; Enterobacterales; Enterobacteriaceae. The record is from RNAcentral.